Molecule: ribosomal RNA, 549 nt
Filed under: uncultured Glomeromycotina
Lineage: Eukaryota; Fungi; Glomeromycota
Description: SSU rRNA
Rfam family: Eukaryotic small subunit ribosomal RNA
Source: RNAcentral
UUGGAGGGCAAGUCUGGUGCCAGCAGCCGCGGUAAUUCCAGCUCCAAUAGCGUAUAUUAAAGUUGUUGCAGUUAAAAAGCUCGUAGUUGAAUUUCGGGGUCAGCAGGUUGGUCGUGCCUAUGGUAUGAACUGGCUUCGCUGGUCUCUCCUUUCUGAAGAACUGUAAUGCCAUUAAUUUGGUGUUGCAGGGACACAGGACUGUUACUUUGAAAAAAUUAGAGUGUUUAAAGCAGGCUAACGCUUGAAUACAUUAGCAUGGAAUAAUGAAAUAGGACGUUCGAACCUAUUUUGUUGGUUUCUAGGAUUGACGUAAUGAUUAAUAGGGAUAGUUGGGGGCAUUAGUAUUCAAUUGUCAGAGGUGAAAUUCUUGGAUUUAUUGAAGACUGACUACUGCGAAAGCAUUUGCCAAGGAUGUUUUCAUUAAUCAAGAACGAAAGUUAGGGGAUCGAAGACGAUCAGAUACCGUCGUAGUCUUAWCCAUAAACUAUGCCGACUAGGGAUCGGAUGAUGUUAAUUUUUUAAUGACUCAUUCGGCGCCUUACGGGAAAC